RNAcentral lists this ribosomal RNA (994 nucleotides) under uncultured bacterium. Its description in RNAcentral is "bacterial SSU rRNA". It matches the Rfam family "Bacterial small subunit ribosomal RNA", at positions 60 to 1046 of the family's 1533-position model. The record is from RNAcentral.
AGUCGAGCGGUAGAGAGAAGCUUGCUUCUCUUGAGAGCGGCGGACGGGUGAGUAAUGCCUAGGAAUCUGCCUGGUAGUGGGGGAUAACGUUCGGAAACGGACGCUAAUACCGCAUACGUCCUACGGGAGAAAGCAGGGGACCUUCGGGCCUUGCGCUAUCAGAUGAGCCUAGGUCGGAUUAGCUAGUUGGUGGGGUAAUGGCUCACCAAGGCGACGAUCCGUAACUGGUCUGAGAGGAUGAUCAGUCACACUGGAACUGAGACACGGUCCAGACUCCUACGGGAGGCAGCAGUGGGGAAUAUUGGACAAUGGGCGAAAGCCUGAUCCAGCCAUGCCGCGUGUGUGAAGAAGGUCUUCGGAUUGUAAAGCACUUUAAGUUGGGAGGAAGGGCAGUAAAUUAAUACUUUGCUGUUUUGACGUUACCGACAGAAUAAGCACCGGCUAACUCUGUGCCAGCAGCCGCGGUAAUACAGAGGGUGCAAGCGUUAAUCGGAAUUACUGGGCGUAAAGCGCGCGUAGGUGGUUCGUUAAGUUGGAUGUGAAAUCCCCGGGCUCAACCUGGGAACUGCAUUCAAAACUGACGAGCUAGAGUAUGGUAGAGGGUGGUGGAAUUUCCUGUGUAGCGGUGAAAUGCGUAGAUAUAGGAAGGAACACCAGUGGCGAAGGCGACCACCUGGACUGAUACUGACACUGAGGUGCGAAAGCGUGGGGAGCAAACAGGAUUAGAUACCCUGGUAGUCCACGCCGUAAACGAUGUCAACUAGCCGUUGGGAGCCUUGAGCUCUUAGUGGCGCAGCUAACGCAUUAAGUUGACCGCCUGGGGAGUACGGCCGCAAGGUUAAAACUCAAAUGAAUUUGACGGGGGCCCGCACAAGCGGUGGAGCAUGGGGUUAAAUUCGAAGCUACGCGAAGAACCUUACCAGGCCUUGACAUUCAAUGAACUUUCUAGAGAUAAAAUUGGUGGCUUUCGGGAACAUUGAAACAGGUGCUGCAA